AGUGAACGCUGGCGGUAGGCCUAACACAUGCAAGUCGAACGGCAGCACAGGAGAGCUUGCUCUCUGGGUGGCGAGUGGCGGACGGGUGAGGAGUACAUCGGAAUCUACUUUUUCGUGGGGGAUAACGUAGGGAAACUUACGCUAAUACCGCAUACGACCUACGGGUGAAAGCAGGGGACCUUCGGGCCUUGCGCGAUUGAAUGAGCCGAUGUCGGAUUAGCUAGUUGGCGGGGUAAAGGCCCACCAAGGCGACGAUCCGUAGCUGGUCUGAGAGGAUGAUCAGCCACACUGGAACUGAGACACGGUCCAGACUCCUACGGGAGGCAGCGGUGGGGAAUAUUGGACAAUGGGCGCAAGCCUGAUCCAGCCAUACCGCGUGGGUGAAGAAGGCCUUCGGGUUGUAAAGCCCUUUUGUUGGGAAAGAAAUCCAGCUGGCUAAUACCCGGUUGGGAUGACGGUACCCAAAGAAUAAGCACCGGCUAACUUCGUGCCAGCAGCAGCCGCGG
This 506-nucleotide ribosomal RNA is filed under the name uncultured bacterium. Its description in RNAcentral is "partial 16S ribosomal RNA". It matches the Rfam family "Bacterial small subunit ribosomal RNA", at positions 29 to 523 of the family's 1533-position model. The record is from RNAcentral.